GUAGCCUACACACACACACACACCCAGUGGCAAAGAUUUCCAGCUGGAAUACGUUUUUUAUUGAUGGAGUGAGGGCUUUGCAUAGGCGCUUUGUUAGGAUUUUUGUGGGACUGGAAACAAAAUGCUUGAAACGUAAAAUAAAGCUAUUAACCAAUUCCCAUGCUUUUAAAAGAAAGGUUCUGUUGUAGAACAGUAUAGAUCACUUUAGAUCCCUCAAAUAAUUGUGUUCUUUUCUGGUUUUUGAUUCUGUUCCCUGAACCAGUUCUAACCCUACCUAAGAACACAUGAAAACAUUGUGUAAUGAAGCACUAAUAUCUGUCUGUCUAGUAACUACACAGUCUACUCUGUGUCAGAAGCAUGUACCCUCCUGAGAUCAAGCAGGGAGGCUAGCUGUUUGGCAAUGUUUCUUUGUCAGUGUCAGUUUAUUUGAUCCUCCACCUCUCCCCUAUCCUCUUUUAAAACCCUCUCUCCUCCUUCUCUCCUCCAUCCCCCUCCGGGCCCUGAGCUCUGGUCAGUUGACUAAUCGCAAUGAAGCCAUCCAGUCUCUACAAGUGGAAAUGAGCAGACUGAAAGUGCGACUAGAGGGCAGUCUGAGAUAGACCAACCCUCCCAGUCUUGUCAGAGCUCCCCCUCAGCCCAGAACGACCACACACACCCUCUCAGCUGAACACCUUGCAUUAGGUCUGCUCAGCGAAGGAGCGAUGGUGGUAGAGAGAGGAAGAGGGGCUACGAGCAGGAGGAGGAGGAUAGGGCUCCGAGGUCAACUCCUAGAACAUCAGCUUUUGUACCUCGACAGCCUCUAAGACCUGAACUGGAUAUCAGGGAGUCAUGGGCUGUAUCCCAAAUGCGACAGAUUCGGUGCAUGCCCAGUCCACACCCAGAUAUCGGUCCUCCAGACGUAUCCCAGAGUCCCCUGCAUCACGUGGCAGAGCAGAGACAGUCAGGAACAGAGGAGCCCACAACAACCAGACACUGAGGUGACACUGAGGCUAUCCACAGUCACACUGGUCUUCAUUCUCAUCAAUGUUCUAUGUGUGGGAGGUCUGAGACAUAUUGGAACACAAGCAGUGAACACGCAUCUGGACAUCUGAACAGCUAUCACUAUUUGGAGGAGGACUUCUACUUCAAUGAGUCAGAGGCGAAAGACAUAUUGAUUAUCGUGGACCAGGCCGAAAUCCCCGACACUUGAAGAAGGAGGAGACGGUGCUAUAGAGGCCGAUGUGCUGGAUACCUGACGAGACUUCGUUGGAGAGUGGAUAAAUCACCUCUAACCUCCGUUCUAUUGGUGAAACUCAAACAGGAAGUACCAGUGACGCGCUCAAUACAGAAGUGGUUCGAUGAAGCGGAUGCUAAGCUACAGGACUGUUUCACUAGCACAGACUGUAAUAUGUUCUGGGAUUCAUCCGAUGGCAUUGAGGAGUUUACCACAUCAGUCAUCAGCUUCAUUAAUAAGUGUAUCAACGAUGUUGUCCC
This 1473-nucleotide long non-coding RNA is filed under the name Salmo salar (Atlantic salmon). RNAcentral describes it as "lncRNA (ENSSSAG00000094088.1)". Lineage: Eukaryota; Metazoa; Chordata; Actinopteri; Salmoniformes; Salmonidae. The record is from RNAcentral.